GUUUUGCUUACCCAUUUAAGCGCUAAUAUGGACUGGGUGGAGGAAGUCUCUGUUGCCGAGGGUGAAAGAGGCUGCAACCCAAAGAUUUGAAAGGUCAAUCACGCUUGUGCCGCCGCCUGGCUAAAAGAGAACGUGAUGCCGAAGGGCUCUACUCCUCAUUGGCUUCUUCCCCUUCAGCUGGAAUGAUUUUUCUUGGCCCCUCGGCAUUACUGCUCUUCAUUAUUUUUAGUUUUCCUUGUUUGACUUGUGUUGUUUGAUUGAAUGAGACUCUUCUUCUAUCAAUUUUCUUCUCGAUCGGACAACUCUAGGCAAGACCUCUGUAAUGGGUUCUAUACUUAUAGUUAGUGUGCCCUAUAGCUGCUAGGUCUGGGCUUUCAUUGUAAUUCUUGUUUAGGGCCUCUAACAGCUUGCAGAUCCCUGUAAGGCCA
Molecule: unclassified non-coding RNA, 428 nt
Filed under: Hevea brasiliensis (rubber tree)
Lineage: Eukaryota; Viridiplantae; Streptophyta; Magnoliopsida; Malpighiales; Euphorbiaceae
Source: RNAcentral